Molecule: non-coding RNA, 148 nt
Filed under: Homo sapiens (human)
Lineage: Eukaryota; Metazoa; Chordata; Mammalia; Primates; Hominidae
Source: Rfam by way of RNAcentral
GCCAGGUGUGGUGGCGCAUACCUGUAGUCCCAGCUACUUGGGAGGCUGAGGUGGGAGGAUUGCUUGAGCCUGGGAGGUUGAGGCUGCAGUGAGCUAAGAUCACGCCACUGCACUCCAGCCUGGACGACAGAGUGAGACCCUGUCUCAA